RNAcentral lists this ribosomal RNA (301 nucleotides) under uncultured bacterium. RNAcentral's name for it is "partial 16S ribosomal RNA". It matches the Rfam family "Bacterial small subunit ribosomal RNA", at positions 509 to 807 of the family's 1533-position model. The record is from RNAcentral.
CAGUAGCCGCGGGAAUACGAAGGGUGCAAGCGUUACUCGGAAUUACUGGGCGUAAAGCGUGCGUAGGUGGUGGUUUAAGUCCGUUGUGAAAGCCCUGGGCUCAACCUGGGAAUUGCAGUGGAUACUGGAUCACUAGAGUGUGGUAGAGGAUAGUGGAAUUUCCGGUGUAGCAGUGAAAUGCGUAGAGAUCGGAAGGAACAUCUGUGGCGAAGGCGACUAUCUGGGCCAACACUGACACUGAGGCACGAAAGCGUGGGUAGCAAACAGGAUUAGAUACCCCGGUAGUCCCUGUCUCUUAUAC